CUAAAGUAGAUCUACAGCAGAGCCAGGCAGCAUCCCCGUCCUCCAGAGUAAAGCCGAAGCAGAAGUUCUCAUUUUUAAAGGAGAACGUCGGAGUGGAGAGCAGACGGUCGGCCGCGCGUCUCCCAAUUACAGGGAAGUGUUUGCAAAGAGGGGCUGGGAUCCACUGCUGCCGAAUACACAAACAUUCAGCCUUCAACGCACUUGUCCAUUAAGGCGGCUUCCGUUGGAGAGAUUGGCCCCUUCGCCUGUGCGACGGAGUCUUCAUGUGACACGAUGAUGCUUCGUGCCGUUUGGGAAACUCACAACUGAACGUUUAAAGUGAGAUAAUUGCCUCUACAAGCUAAACGACAACGUUAAAUAUUGAAAAAACAAGGAAAGAGCCCCAGAUUCAGCACCCUGGACAGCGGUCGAGUCUUCUGGGAAAAUGAGAUUUCAAGUGCUUUGCUGGAUAAAGGGCCACUCAGAAAAAAUAAAUGAAAGAAAACAUGAAGAAUGGCUGUUUUAGCUUUUAGGAGGGAAGAAAACCUGCUAAUGGAACAAGUGAACACCUCUUGGGGAGAUUUCUUGAAAUAAGAUGUUAUUUCAAAGCUGGUUCCAACUUUUAAAGUUUGGGUUGUAUUGUGACAGAAAAAGCGUAUUAAGCUCAAUCGAUGUCACUUGAUGAGUGUGUGCUCUCUUAAUGUCGUGACCUUAUUGGGAG
Long non-coding RNA from Gasterosteus aculeatus aculeatus (three-spined stickleback), 700 nucleotides. The record is from Ensembl. Lineage: Eukaryota; Metazoa; Chordata; Actinopteri; Perciformes; Gasterosteidae.